CUUUCACAUNCCCGUCGAACGGCAGCACAGUAAGCAGCUUGCUCUUACAGGUGGCGAGUGGCGGACGGGUGAGGAAUACAUCGGAAUCUACUUUUUCGUGGGGGAUAACGUAGGGAAACUUACGCUAAUACCGCAUACGACCUACGGGUGAAAGCAGGGGAUCUUCGGACCUUGCGCGAUUGAAUGAGCCGAUGUCGGAUUAGCUAGUUGGCGGGGUAAAGGCCCACCAAGGCGACGAUCCGUAGCUGGUCUGAGAGGAUGAUCAGCCACACUGGAACUGAGACACGGUCCAGACUCCUACGGGAGGCAGCAGUGGGGAAUAUUGGACAAUGGGCGCAAGCCUGAUCCAGCCAUACCGCGUGGGUGAAGAAGGCCUUCGGGUUGUAAAGCCCUUUUGUUGGGAAAGAAAUCCAGCCGGCUAAUACCUGGUUGGGAUGACGGUACCCAAAGAAUAAGCACCGGCUAACUUCGUGCCAGCAGCCGCGGUAAUACGAAGGGUGCAAGCGUUACUCGGAAUUACUGGGCGUAAAGCGUGCGUAGGUGGUUGUUUAAGUCUGUUGUGAAAGCCCUGGGCUCAACCUGGGAACUGCAGUGGAAACUGGACAACUAGAGUGUGGUAGAGGGUAGCGGAAUUCCCGGUGUA
RNAcentral lists this ribosomal RNA (643 nucleotides) under Stenotrophomonas sp. E102. RNAcentral describes it as "bacterial SSU rRNA". It matches the Rfam family "Bacterial small subunit ribosomal RNA", at positions 48 to 677 of the family's 1533-position model. The record is from RNAcentral. Lineage: Bacteria; Pseudomonadati; Pseudomonadota; Gammaproteobacteria; Lysobacterales; Lysobacteraceae.